CCUACGGGCGGCAGCAGUGGGGAAUAUUGGGCAAUGGGCGCAAGCCUGACCCAGCAACGCCGGGUGAAGGAAGAAGGCUUUCGGGUUGUAAACUUCUUUUAAGAGGGAAGAGCAGAAGACGGUACCUCUUGAAUAAGCCACGGCUAACUACGUGCCAGCAGCCGCGGUAAUACGUAGGUGGCAAGCGUUGUCCGGAUUUACUGGGUGUAAAGGGCGUGUAGCCGGGCUGACAAGUCAGAUGUGAAAUCCCGUGGCUCAACCACGGAACUGCAUUUGAAACUGUCGGUCUUGAGUAUCGGAGAGGCAGGCGGAAUUCCUAGUGUAGCGGUGAAAUGCGUAGAUAUUAGGAGGAACACCAGAGGCGAAGGCGGCUAACUGGACUGUAACUGACGUUGAGGCUCGAAAGCGUGGGGAGCAAACAGGAUUAGAUACCCGGGUAGUC
This 442-nucleotide ribosomal RNA is filed under the name uncultured bacterium. Its description in RNAcentral is "partial 16S ribosomal RNA". It matches the Rfam family "Bacterial small subunit ribosomal RNA", at positions 338 to 795 of the family's 1533-position model. The record is from RNAcentral.